GACGAACGCUGGCGGCGUGCCUAAUACAUGCAAGUUGAGCGCUGAAGGUUGGUACUUGUACCGACUGGAUGAGCAGCGAACGGGUGAGUAACGCGUGGGGAAUCUGCCUUUGAGCGGGGGACAACAUUUGGAAACGAAUGCUAAUACCGCAUAAAAACUUUAAACACAAGUUUUAAGUUUGAAAGAUGCAAUUGCAUCACUCAAAGAUGAUCCCGCGUUGUAUUAGCUAGUUGGUGAGGUAAAGGCUCACCAAGGCGAUGAUACAUAGCCGACCUGAGAGGGUGAUCGGCCACAUUGGGACUUGGACACGGCCCAAACUCCUACGGGAGGCAGCAGUAGGGAAUCUUCGGAAAUGGGCGAAAGUCUGACCGAGCAACGCCGCGUGAGUGAAGAAGGUUUUCGGAUCGUAAAACUCUGUUGGUAGAUAAGAAAGUUGGUGAGAGUGGAAAGCUCAUCAAGUGACGGUAACUACACAGAAAGGGACGGCUAACUACGUG
This 497-nucleotide ribosomal RNA is filed under the name uncultured bacterium. RNAcentral describes it as "partial 16S ribosomal RNA". It matches the Rfam family "Bacterial small subunit ribosomal RNA", at positions 28 to 507 of the family's 1533-position model. The record is from RNAcentral.